RNAcentral lists this long non-coding RNA (644 nucleotides) under Hordeum vulgare. RNAcentral describes it as "long non-coding RNA (HVUL_LNC009143)". Lineage: Eukaryota; Viridiplantae; Streptophyta; Magnoliopsida; Poales; Poaceae. The record is from RNAcentral.
UUUUUAUUCCCGUACCAUAUUGACAGUUGGCAGUCCUUCCUGCUUCUUGUUUUCUGUUCCCUAGGUAGUCCUGCAAUCACCGCAGAACAAAACAAAUCAUUAUUACUAUCAAUAACAACAGGAAAAAAUUGUUUGGCCUUUCCCUUUUAUAACCUGUCGACAAAAUUUCACGUUUAGCCGAGUACUGACUGUUGCAGAAUUAUGCUUUAGGUUUUGAAGCCGGAGGGCCUCACACUCCUUCAAACAUAGAUCCAUGGUCUAUCAUUGGUGACGAAUCCUCCAUAUACGUGAAGACUGAAAGAACAUCUUGUUUCAGUAGAAAUAUCGUUGCUCUAAGGAUGGAAAUUCUUUGUGCCAAGUGUCCAGCUGGCGGUGUUGGUAUUUACAACCCAGGAUUCUGGGGCAUGGUAUGUUUUAUUCAUCCAUAUACCAAGUGGACAGUUACAUCAGCAUGAAAAUAUUAAUCAUAAAAAAAAUUACGGUCAACAGUUUACAAGCUACAGUAUUGCCAGUUGAAAAAUGAUGUCAAAUGUUUUUCUUCCCAAAAGUAAAACUGAAACAUAAAUUCACCUGUUCUAAUCCACAUCCAUAUUUUCCUUGGAUAAUUUUAGCUCUCCAUUUAAUGCUGUGCUUUUGCUUCCUUG